This is a long non-coding RNA of Pyrus x bretschneideri (Chinese white pear), 3121 nucleotides long. RefSeq lists it as uncharacterized. The transcript has 11 exons. NCBI's taxonomy places the organism in Eukaryota, Viridiplantae, Streptophyta, Magnoliopsida, Rosales, Rosaceae. The record is from RefSeq and is a predicted model, not a curated record.
CAACAAACCCUACUGAAAGUAGGAUGUGCUGGAUCUUGCGCUACAUGCCUCAAAUCCAAAGAUAAGUUUCUUUUGUAAAUUGUAUUCUUUAACGGUGCCUUAGAUUUUCUAAUUGUUUAGUAUUAGGUCCGGUUUUGGGGGAUUUCUGAUUUUAUAGAGAGAGAUGGAUAGGGAGAUAGAGAUAGACAGAGAGAGGAGAAAGCAUGGCUGUGUGCAUUUUUUGGCGUUAAUUAAUGGGUUAGUGCGCAAGGUCAGUGAGGAGAAAGUGACAGAGGGGUGUAUGGCAGGGUAUGGGUUUUUAGUUUUCUGAUUCAAUAGGUUAUGCACUGUUUGAAAAUAAUUGUUUAUUGUUUUGUUUUCCGUUUGCUUUGUUAGAACCAUUAUUCGAAUUUUUGGGUUUCACUAUGCUCAUUUAUGUGCUUAUUCAAAAUUUUAUCGUGUUUGCUUCUCAUUCCUCUGUUGGUUGAUUUUUUUUUUUCCCAUUUCUUGGUUCCUUAUGUAUUCCUUGGUUUUGUCUAGUUUUUGGUUGUGGGAUGAUGCUUGCAGGUGAACUAUAUGCACGGUUUUUUGGGACGAGUUAGGAAGAUCCACCUGAAAACAGCAUACAAGAUAGAGAAUUGAUCAAAAUAAAGUGAAAGCUUUUAACUGUGAAUUUUGCAACCGCUGCCUUGCUGCUUUGGACCAAGUAGCCGACCCUCUACAACAAAAUCAGACCGCUCGGAAACCCUAGCUUGAAUGUGGUUCCAGAGCUCGACGACUGCGUCUACAAUGGCAACAAAGUUUGAGUAGCUUCAGUGCAUCAUUCACGACCUCCGAAAGCGGAAACGCUUCUCCCAAGCCCUCCAGGUUGCAGAUUUCAGAGUGGAUGAAUCAGAAGGGGAUAUGCAUAUUUUUGCUGGUUGAGCAUGCCGUGCAGCUGGAUUUGAUUGGGAAGGAAGAAUUUGGCACAAAUUGCUGUGAAAUAAAGCCAGUUUGAGUCUCUGGGUCGAAUCGUAUUGGACAUUGUUGCAUCAUGGAGCAUGUGAUUGCUGGGAAGUUUAAGCUGGGGAGGAAGAUUGUGAGUAGGUCUUUCGGAGAACUCUAUUUAGGUGUAAAUGUACACAGUGGGGAGGGGGUGGCUGUUAAGCUGUUUCAGGGCAUUUUGCGUUUGAAGGAUUUGAAACUGUUGUAAGCUAAAUGGGUGUGAAACAAGAUGAUAGCACUAUUGACACUGUGCCUGCAAUGGAACAGUCCCACAAGAUCUGCUUGCUGUCAUGAUUCUACUCAAUCUCAUUGAAUAUAUGUUUUUUAGAUGUUUUGUUAGGAGAAGAUUUUUGAUGAGUUAGAUAAGAGAGUGAAGAAGUUUCUUAGAGGAGCAGAAGCAAAUUUAGAGGGCUUGAAAGAUAAGAAAUUGAAGAGUCAACUUGCUGUUAGAGAAGAAUUGUAUGGAAAAUCUGCACAAGCUGCUGCCAAGGCUGAGAAGACGGUUAAAGCUGCCAUGCUUGGUGAGAUAAUGGAUUACUUGAAGUUAAGGCUCCAAGUAAUGGUAGAGUUGUUUCAACUAUAACGCAUGUUUUCUUUUUCAAAUGAAUGAUAGAAUUCCUAUUACUCAAUCCUCUCAUCUAUGUCUAUUGUAUUACAUUCAAUUAUUUGCUGAAACUUUUCUGUUCUUAAUAUGGUCAUUAAUUUUAAAUGAUUGUUAUUCCAUACAAGCUUACUUUCCUUUGAUAUUAACGUUUUCUGAUAAAAUGGUAGAAAUCCACAUGCAUUUGACAAAUAAUUGUCAUCAUUUUAGCAGUACAAUGCACAUCCACAUAAUUGAGCAUAGUAAAGAAAAAAUUGAAUACUUCUUAAUAGACAUUUUUUUUUCAAUACUCCCAGACCUUCUUGCAUUGUACAAAAGGUUCGGAAUUUCUAUUUAAAUGUGUCAAUACGUUAUUAUUAUUUUUUCUUUUGUGCUUUGGCAAUAUGACUUAUCUUGCCAAAAGAUGUAUGUGGGUUUUGAGGGUUCAGGGAUCCCUUUUUCUUAAGAUUACUGGAUUGGUCCUUACCUCCAUGUGUUGUUGAGUCUAUUGAGAGCUGGUAUGCAUGAGAACUUUAAGUAAUCAUUGCCAUAAAAAGUAGAAGUGAUGACUCACACCAGGAAUCAGUUAUCUCAUCAAAAACUUUAUUUUUAUCUUCGAAUUUGAUACCUGUAGGUGUAUAUAGGUUAAAUCGAUUGUUGAGAUGGCAAUUUAAUCACUUCUCAACAUCCGAUAUCUCCAUCUCCCUGUUCUGGAUUUUUACUUACUUGAAAUGAAUAGAUUCUAGGCGUUUCGUUUAGCAAAAUGAGUAGUGGAUAGUGCUGAAUCAUUUUUUUUACAUUCACAGCAAUAUGGGCACUUUUCUUGGCAAUAUAGAAUGUGAUUCAGUUGUAUUGAAUUUGUUCGAUUAACCGUUGGUCCAUUUAUAGUUCAUUUAAUCUUUUGAAUUAGUAAGCUACCGUGUGGUGUCCUUUAGAUUUCUUGGUAUGCUAUUGAUAUGGAGAACAUCAUCUAUCUGUUCUAUUUAUCGCAUGAUAUAAGAAUCAAAGUAGACUUGGCAUCCCCUUUGUGGCCUUUUUUGUGUUAGCAGAUGCCAUCAGAGAGGCAAAAACAUAUCGGCUACAAAGUGCAAUGAGCUACAAGUUACUAAGUUUCGCCAUAUGCCUUCAUUGUGGCAUUGGCCUUUCUGCGACAAUUUGCUUCACAAACCUCUACAAUUAGGUUCCAUACAGUAUGUUGCAAGUUUGAGGAUAUCUCUACAUCUUAAUUUCUGCUCUCUGGUUGCUUCAAGUUUAUAAUUUUACGUGCUACGCUACCACUUGAUUUGAUUAUAAAAAUGUAAAACAAAAUCCGUCCAUGAUUUACAAAUUUGUAUUCGAUUUUUUAUGUUUUUCCAGUGCAAGGCAUAUGUUGCACAAGCAUGUAAAUGGUACAAAUUAUUUGGUUUUGGACAGUAAGCUUUGAGUUUUACAAUCCUUGUAAGGGGAUUGUGACUCAAGUGAACAAAUUUACUGGAGAAGUUAUGCAUGCAUUCAUUUAGGUAAUUGUAGAAGUUAUGCAUGCAUUCUUUUGGCAAUCCUUUCCCAAAACCUGUAGUGAUCCUGAUAUGAGUCUAACUC